GAGGGAUCCUUGGAACAGUCGCACCCUGGUGGGACUUUUCAGAGCACUCCUGGGGUUGGGAGAGAAAUUUCAGGGUAACUGCAGAAUAAUGUGAGCUAUAACCGGCCUGAGUGAUCUUCUUGCUGGGAUCUGGAUGUGAGACUGGCGUGUUUGAAGGUUGCUGAAUACCUGUUGACCUGCAUGCCCCAACGGGGUGAACUCCAUCUACCUUUUGAUUCCUAACUAAUCGCAGUGAACAAUACACCAGCUUGUCUUCUGUAAAACGAGAGGGGUGAACGUUCCCACCAGCCUUGCCGCCUUGGUUGGACAGGUUCCUCACAGAAGUCUGUAACCUAUGAGGUGACAUCUAGACCUAACUGCUCAGACGUUGAAUCCCCAGCAUCCUGAGUCCUAAGCCCUACCAUGAUGUCUUGACCGGAGCUCUUCUUAGCCCAGAGCCAUCCUGAUGAGCCAUUCUGAUCCUGGAGCCCAGAUCUGGAACCUGGAACAGCAGGGGAUAGCUGGGGUCUGGAAAGGAGCUCUGGUUUCCUGGAGAAAGCACAUGUGUCUUCCCUUCAACCCAGCAAUUGCACUACUGGGUAUUUAUCCAAAGGUUACAAAAAGAGUGAUUCGAAGGGGCUCCUGCACCCCAAUGUUUAUAGCAGCAAUGUCCACAAUAGCCAAACUAUGGAAAGAGCCCAGAUGUCCAUCGACAGAUGAAUGGAUAAAGAAGAUGUGGUAUAUAUACAAUGGAAUAUUACU
Molecule: long non-coding RNA, 741 nt
Organism: Zalophus californianus (California sea lion)
Lineage: Eukaryota; Metazoa; Chordata; Mammalia; Carnivora; Otariidae
Exons: 3
Source: RefSeq, a predicted model, not a curated record